GGGCGUGUGGUGUAGUGGUAUCACGUUUGCUUUGCACUCACAAAAGCGCAAUUGUAAAAGGUCUUCGGUUCAAUCCCGGACACGUCCA
Molecule: transfer RNA, 88 nt
Filed under: Cephalotrichum gorgonifer
Lineage: Eukaryota; Fungi; Ascomycota; Sordariomycetes; Microascales; Microascaceae
Description: transfer RNA-Ala(TGC)
Rfam family: tRNA
About the family: Transfer RNA (tRNA) molecules are approximately 80 nucleotides in length. Their secondary structure includes four short double-helical elements and three loops (D, anti-codon, and T loops). Further hydrogen bonds mediate the characteristic L-shaped molecular structure. tRNAs have two regions of fundamental functional importance: the anti-codon, which is responsible for specific mRNA codon recognition, and the 3' end, to which the tRNAs corresponding amino acid is attached (by aminoacyl-tRNA synthetases). tRNAs cope with the degeneracy of the genetic code in two manners: having more than one tRNA (with a specific anti-codon) for a particular amino acid; and 'wobble' base-pairing, i.e. permitting non-standard base-pairing at the 3rd anti-codon position.
Source: RNAcentral